UAGGGAAUCUUCGGCAAUGGGGGGAACCCUGACAGAGCAACGACGCGUGAGUGAAGAAGGUUUUCGGAUCGUAAAGCUCUGUUGUUAAGGAAGAACGAGUGUGAGAAUGGAAAGUUCAUACUGUGACGGUACUUAACCAGAAAGGGACGGCUAACUACGUGCCAGCAGCCGCGGUAAUACGUAGGUCGCGAGCGUUGUCCGGAUUUAUUGGGCGUAAAGCGAGCGCAGGCGGUUAGGUAAGUCUGAAGUUAAAGGCAGUGGCUCAACCAUUGUAGGCUUUGGAAACUGUUUAACUUGAGUGCAGAAGGGGAGAGUGGACUUCCAUGUGUAGCGGUGAACUGCGUAGAUAUAUGGAGGAACGCCGGUGGCGAAAGCGGCUCUCUGGUCUGUAACUGACGCUGAGGCUCGAAAGCGUGGGGAGCGAACAGG
This 429-nucleotide ribosomal RNA is filed under the name Bacteroidota bacterium. Its description in RNAcentral is "Bacteroidetes bacterium partial 16S ribosomal RNA". It matches the Rfam family "Bacterial small subunit ribosomal RNA", at positions 355 to 776 of the family's 1533-position model. The record is from RNAcentral. Lineage: Bacteria; Pseudomonadati; Bacteroidota.